Molecule: ribosomal RNA, 484 nt
Filed under: uncultured bacterium
Lineage: Bacteria
Description: partial 16S ribosomal RNA
Rfam family: Bacterial small subunit ribosomal RNA
Source: RNAcentral
AUUGAACGCUGGCGGCAGGCCUAACACAUGCAAGUCGAGCGGAUGAAGGGUGCUUGUUCCUGGAUCCCGCGUCGGACGGGUGAGUAAUGCAUAGGAGUAUGCUUGGCUGUGGGGGAUAACGUCUGGAAAAGGGCGCUACUACUGCAUAAGACCUGCGGGAGAAAGAGGGGGAUCUUUGGACAUCACGCUAUCAGAUGAGUCUAGGUCGGAUUGGCUAGCUGGUGGGGUAAAGGCCUACCAAGGCGACGAUCCGUAACUGGUCUGCGAGGAGGAUCGGUCACACGGGAACUGAGACACGGUCCUGGCUCCUACGAUAGGCAGCAGUCGGGAAUGGGAGGCAGUAGGCGGGAACCUUGUCCAGCCAGGCCGCGUGUGUGGAGGAAGUCUUCGGAUUGUAAAGCACGUUUAGUGGGGAUGAAGGGCAGUAGGUUAAUACCUUGCUUUUGUGACGGUACCGGCAGAAGAAGCACCGGCUAACUACGUG